This 503-nucleotide ribosomal RNA is filed under the name Escherichia coli. Its description in RNAcentral is "bacterial SSU rRNA". It matches the Rfam family "Bacterial small subunit ribosomal RNA", at positions 775 to 1278 of the family's 1533-position model. The record is from RNAcentral. Lineage: Bacteria; Pseudomonadati; Pseudomonadota; Gammaproteobacteria; Enterobacterales; Enterobacteriaceae.
GGAUUAGAUACCCUGGUAGUCCACGCCGUAAACGAUGUCGACUUGGAGGUUGUGCCCUUGAGGCGUGGCUUCCGGAGCUAACGCGUUAAGUCGACCGCCUGGGGAGUACGGCCGCAAGGUUAAAACUCAAAUGAAUUGACGGGGGCCCGCACAAGCGGUGGAGCAUGUGGUUUAAUUCGAUGCAACGCGAAGAACCUUACCUGGUCUUGACAUCCACAGAACUUUCCAGAGAUGGAUUGGUGCCUUCGGGAACUGUGAGACAGGUGCUGCAUGGCUGUCGUCAGCUCGUGUUGUGAAAUGUUGGGUUAAGUCCCGCAACGAGCGCAACCCUUAUCCUUUGUUGCCAGCGGUCCGGCCGGGAACUCAAAGGAGACUGCCAGUGAUAAACUGGAGGAAGGUGGGGAUGACGUCAAGUCAUCAUGGCCCUUACGACCAGGGCUACACACGUGCUACAAUGGCGCAUACAAAGAGAAGCGACCUCGCGAGAGCAAGCGGACCUCAUA